AAUGACGCGCGCGAAUUCUGUGAGCUCUUCAAAAUUAAAGAAAUAAAUUAAAUUAAAUAAAAAUUAAACAUCCGCGACGUGAAAAAUAAUACAUAAAGGUGUCCUAGUGAAAGAAGAGAUUGAAGAGGAACAAGAAACUGCACCGGGAGCGUCGAUAGUCGGAGUUUCAGGGAACUCACACAACUGCAGGAAGCGGAUGAAUUGCCGCAAACACCAAAACAAAGGAUAGUGAAUGUGUAAAGAUUCCGAGCGAAAGAAAUAAGAUUACUUUGCCGAAUUUUGCUGUUUAAUAUAGUAAAUAGAUUAUGUUUUACUUGUACCUUAAAGAAAAUUGUUUACUAACCCUGAUAUGCCUUUAUAAGUUUAAACAUGUAAUUGUAAACAGGUAAACUUGCCUUUAAUCUUUAUUUUUAACUUCACGUUAAGAUUUUAAAUAUAAAUAUCUUGAUAUUUUGCCAGAAGUAAAGAAAUUUAAAAUUGUUUACAAUUAUAAAAUAAUCUUAAUUGGCUAGUUUCUAUAACUGUGUUCCCUGAUAAGGAAUAUUGUUAAAAAUUGAUAUAUUUGUUUGAAUAAAAGCCAAUAUUUUUGGGCUAAUUAUUAAAAACGAAAUGAACUGUGUAUUUAUUGUACAAGUCUAUUCCUUAAUUUUUCAAUCUUAAUUCGCUUCGUCGAAUCAAGUGUAAAUAAAAGUGAAUUAUGGAAAAACUGGAAAGGAAGAAGAACAGUUUACAAUUCAGCUUUAAUAUGAAGAGUCAACUCUAUUCAAAUCAGUAAUAAGCAAACACCAAAACAAAGGAUAGUGAAUGUGUAAAGAUUCCGAGCGAAAGAAAUAAGAUUACUUUGCCGAAUUUUGCUGUUUAAUAUAGUAAAUAGAUUAUGUUUUACUUGUACCUUAAAGAAAAUUGUUUACUAACCCUGAUAUGCCUUUAUAAGUUUAAACAUGUAAUUGUAAACAGGUAAACUUGCCUUUAAUUUUUAUUUGUAACUUCACGUUAAGAUUUUAAAUAUAAAUAUCUUGAUAUUUUGCCAGAAGUAAAGAAAUUUAAAAUUGUUUACAAUUAUAAAAUAAUCUUAAUUGGCUAGUUUCUAUAACUGUGUUCCCUGAUAAGGAAUAUUGUUAAAAAUUGAUAUAUUUGUUUGAAUAAAAGCCAAUAUUUUUGGGCUAAUUAUUAAAAACGAAAUGAACUGUGUAUUUAUUGUACAAGUCUAUUCCUUAAUUUUUCAAUCUUAAUUCGCUUCGUCGAAUCAAGUGUAAAUAAAAGUGAAUUAUGGAAAAACUGGAAAGGAAGAAGAACAGUUUACAAUUCAGCUUUAAUAUGAAGAGUCAACUCUAUUCAAAUCAGUAAUAAGCAAACACCAAAACAAAGGAUAGUGAAUGUGUAAAGAUUCCGAGCGAAAGAAAUAAGAUUACUUUGCCGAAUUUUGCUGUUUAAUAUAGUAAAUAGAUUAUGUUUUACUUGUACCUUAAAGAAAAUUGUUUACUAACCCUGAUAUGCCUUUAUAAGUUUAAACAUGUAAUUGUAAACAGGUAAACUUGCCUUUAAUUUUUAUUUGUAACUUCACGUUAAGAUUUUAAAUAUAAAUAUCUUGAUAUUUUGCCAGAAGUAAAGAAAUUUAAAAUUGUUUACAAUUAUAAAAUAAUCUUAAUUGGCUAGUUUCUAUAACUGUGUUCCCUGAUAAGGAAUAUUGUUAAAAAUUGAUAUAUUUGUUUGAAUAAAAGCCAAUAUUUUUGGGCUAAUUAUUAAAAACGAAAUGAACUGUGUAUUUAUUGUACAAGUCUAUUCCUUAAUUUUUCAAUCUUAAUUCGCUUCGUCGAAUCAAGUGUAAAUAAAAGUGAAUUAUGGAAAAACUGGAAAGGAAGAAGAACAGUUUACAAUUCAGCUUUAAUAUGAAGAGUCAACUCUAUUCAAAUCAGUAAUAAGCAAACACCAAAACAAAGGAUAGUGAAUGUGUAAAGAUUCCGAGCGAAAAAAUAAGAUUACUUUGCCGAAUUUUGCUGUUUAAUAUAGUAAAUAGAUUAUGUUUUACUUGUACCUUAAAGAAAAUUGUUUACUAACCCUGAUAUGCCUUUAUAAGUUUAAACAUGUAAUUGUAAACAGGUAAACUUGCCUUUAAUCUUUAUUUUUAACUUCACGUUAAGAUUUUAAAUAUAAAUAUCUUGAUAUUUUGCCAGAAGUAAAGAAAUUUAAAAUUGUUUACAAUUAUAAAAUAAUCUCAAUUGGCUAGUUUCUAUAACUGUGUACCCCUGAUGGGGAAUAUUGUUAAAAAUUAAUAUAUUUGUUUGAAUAAAAGCCAAUAUUUUUGGGCGAAUUAUUAAAAACCAAA
Molecule: long non-coding RNA, 2326 nt
Organism: Drosophila eugracilis
Lineage: Eukaryota; Metazoa; Arthropoda; Insecta; Diptera; Drosophilidae
Exons: 5
Source: RefSeq, a predicted model, not a curated record